This 867-nucleotide ribosomal RNA is filed under the name uncultured Bacteroidales bacterium. Its description in RNAcentral is "bacterial SSU rRNA". It matches the Rfam family "Bacterial small subunit ribosomal RNA", at positions 611 to 1499 of the family's 1533-position model. Lineage: Bacteria; Pseudomonadati; Bacteroidota; Bacteroidia; Bacteroidales. The record is from RNAcentral.
AAACAGGGAAUGUCCGUGAAAACUUUGGAAUUGGAAUGACGGAGGUAUGGGAAUUUUAAGUUACGGGGGAAAUGCAAAGAUUUUUGAAGAACCCCGUUAGGGUAGGAAGAUUACAGGGCCAUAUUUGACAUUGAAGCACGAAAAGGUGGGUAUCAAACAGGAUUAGAUACCCUGGUAUUCCACACGUAAAACGAUGGAUACUGACGUUUGGGAUACACUGUAAGCGGUUUAGCGAAAGCCUUAAUAUUCCCCCUGGGGAGUACGCCGGCAACGGUGAAACUCAAAGGAAUUGACGGGGGCCCGCACAAGCGGAGGAACAUGUGUUUAAUUUGAUGAUACGCGAGGAACCUUACCCGGGCUCGAACGGCUUUUGAAUAAUUAUGAAAAUAGUUAGUCGCAAGACAGAAGUCGAGGUGCUGCAUGGUUGUCGUCAGCUCGUGCCGUGAGGUGUCGGCUUAAGUGCCAUAACGAGCGCAACCCUUACCGAUAGUUACCAGCAUGUAGAGGUGGGGACUCUAUCGGGACUGCCACCGUAAGGUGCGAGGAAGGUGGGGAUGACGUCAAAUCAGCACGGCCCUUACGUCCGGGGCGACACACGUGUUACAAUGGGGGGGACAAAAGGGAGCUACCCGGCAACGGGAUGCGAAUCUUCAAACCCUCUCCCAGUUCGGAUUGGAGUCUGCAACCCGACUUCAUGAAGCUGGAUUCGCUAGUAAUCGCGCAUCAGCCAUGGCGCGGUGAAUACGUUCCCGGGCCUUGUACACACCGCCCGUCAAGCCAUGGGAGCCGGGGGUGCCUGAAGUACGUAACCGCUGAGGGACGUCCUAGGGUAAAACCGGUGACUGGGGCUAAGUCGUAACAAGGUAA